Molecule: ribosomal RNA, 303 nt
Filed under: uncultured bacterium
Lineage: Bacteria
Description: partial 16S ribosomal RNA
Rfam family: Bacterial small subunit ribosomal RNA
Source: RNAcentral
AGCAGUCGCCGCGGUAAUACGUAGGGUGCGAGCGUUAAUCGGAAUUACUGGGCGCAAAGCGUGCGCAGGCGGUUGUGCAAGACAGAUGUGAAAUCCCCGAGCUUAACUUGGGAACUGCAUUUGUGACUGCACGGCUAGAGUGUGUCAGAGGGGGGUAGAAUUCCACGUGUAGCAGUGAAAUGCGUAGAUAUGUGGAGGAAUACCGAUGGCGAAGGCAGCCCCCUGGGAUAACACUGACGCUCAUGCACGAAAGCGUGGGGAGCAAACAGGAUUAGAUACCCCUGUAGUCCCUGUCUCUUAUAC